RNAcentral lists this ribosomal RNA (468 nucleotides) under uncultured bacterium. RNAcentral's name for it is "bacterial SSU rRNA". It matches the Rfam family "Bacterial small subunit ribosomal RNA", at positions 331 to 794 of the family's 1533-position model. The record is from RNAcentral.
CCAGACUCCUACGGGAGGCAGCAGUGAGGAAUAUUGGUCAAUGGGCGCAAGCCUGAACCAGCCAAGUCGCGUGAGGGAAGACGGCCCUACGGGUUGUAAACCUCUUUUGCCGGGGAGCAAGCCUGAGCACGUGUGCCCAGGCGGAGAGUACCCGGAGAAAAAGCAUCGGCUAACUCCGUGCCAGCAGCCGCGGUAAUACGGAGGAUGCGAGCGUUAUCCGGAUUUAUUGGGUUUAAAGGGUGCGUAGGCGGGGGUUUUAAGCCGGGGUAAAAGGCCCGGGGCCAACCCCCGGCGAGCCGUUGAAACUGGCUGUCUUGAGAUGUCGAGAGGUAUGCGGAAUGCGCAGUGUAGCGGUGAAAUGCUUAGAUAUCACGAAGAACCCCGAUUGCGAAGGCAGCCUGCCGCAGCGUUACUGACGCUGAAGCUCGAAAGCGCGGGGAUCGAACAGGAUUAGAUACCCCGGUACUG